UCUUUAACUGGGUGUUCAAA
This 20-nucleotide microRNA is filed under the name Ciona intestinalis (vase tunicate). RNAcentral's name for it is "cin-miR-4006d-3p". Lineage: Eukaryota; Metazoa; Chordata; Ascidiacea; Phlebobranchia; Cionidae. The record is from miRBase by way of RNAcentral.